GGCCAUUAUAUAUAUUUUACCCGAGCCCAAUACAACACAUUACCUACUCUCUCGCAUAUUUUAGGGUUCAGCCGUUUCUACCCCAAUCCCUAUAUAUACAUAACACUGCUUCUUCUUCAUCAUUCCACAGCCCAUAUUGGAUUCAAUCUAUUCGUAUUUUUGUUUCUGCAUCGUUAUCAUAGCUUCCAGUGGCAUCUUCGACUAACUACCCAGAGGCUAAUUGCAAGAAGAAAUCACAAGAAAACUACGUCGUAUGAUGACGUAGAAAUCGAAGACAUGGGGUGGAACGAGGAGUUGCAGUCAUACACGUAUCCUUGUCCAUGUGGGGACCUGUUCCAGAUCACAAAGGAAGAUCUCAAGCUUGGCGAGGAGAUUGCUCGCUGCCCCAGUUGCUCCCUCUACAUCACUGUUAUCUACAACAUGGACGAUUUUUUUGGCGAUUCUGAUCAAAAUAGAAUAAAUAAGGGUCUUUAGCCCUCCAAACAAUAUUAUUGAAAAUAUACUAUUAAAUUUUUUAAUUUAUACUAAAAUUUUUAAAAAUUAACAAAAAUAUAAUAUUGAAAAUCGAAGACUUUUUAAAUAUAUUAUUAAACUUUUUAAUUUAUACUAAAUUUUUUCCCAGGGGAAUUUUUAAUGUACACUAUUUUGCUAAAAAUGUUCAAAGAUAGAAUAUUACGAAAAUUGAGGAAGUCGCAUAGUUAAAUAUUGAGAAUAACAUAAUAAAUCCUAAUAUGUGAAUCCUAGUAAAGCCCAUCUCUAUAGUGCCGCUUAAACCUGUCCAUUCCGUGAAACCUAUACCCACCACCACAAGAAUAACUUUAUAAUUUAAAUAGGAAGUUCUCAUAUAAAGAAACUCUGGUGAAAAAUAGGUAGACACUCUUUAUAAGCCUAAACCUAUUUUAGAUUUAGUAACAUGAGUUUUCAAAAUUUUUGUUAUGACUUAAAUAAAAAUCUUUCAAUUCAACAAUUAAACUUAAAAAAUCAAACUCAAAACUCUAUCUACUUUUGCAUGAUUAAUUGCAUCAAAUUAACUCAAUGAGAAAAUCAGAUAGGAUGAUUGGAAUAUAGAAUUGUUUACGGAGCGCUUCAAACUACUGUCUCUCAUUUUUUGUUUUUAGCCGUUGUAUCACGCCACCUUUCGCUACCUGUUUUUGAGGGUCUAUUAAACAUAUUUUUAUUAAAAUAUUAUUAGAAUACAAAUAUAAGUUUUGUAUAAUUAAUUAAUUUGAUCAAUACAUUAAUUAUAAAACUAUAAGAAAAUCACUUAUUUUUUUAUAAUUUCUUAACCAUAUUUUCUAUUUUAUUAACCAAUUAGAAACAUUAGUAGCAUUAAUCUUAUAUAUACCAUUAAUCUUAGUUGUUUUACUAGAGACUUUAAUUUUUAAUGUUUGAAUGGUUAAUAGCAAAGCUAUGUGAUAGAUUAAUUAAUUUAUUAUCCUCAAUUAAUCAAUUUUAUUUUUAUAAUUUUUCUUACAUCUAUUUACUUUUUUUCUAAUCCAGCCGUCAAUAGAAAGUAUAAUAUUAAUCAUUUUUUAAUAUGAAAUUAUAAAAUAUCUUAUCCAUAAUUUUCUUAAGGAUUUAGAUUUGAAAAUUUAUUAACCAAAUUAUAAUAUAUAUAUUAGACAGUCUCAUAAAUACCAUUAACCUUAGUUAAUUUACUACCUAAUAUUUUAUUUUUAGUAUUUGGGCACUCGGAAAUUUCGGAAAUUAAUCUAUAAUCUAAAUUAAUCAAAAAUUAAAUUAUAAUCAAAAUUAAUCAAUUUAUUAUACUCAGUUAAUCAAUUUAUUCAAACGCUAUUUCACCAUUUCAAAAAUACCCAUGUUUCAGAGCUAAUGGGUGAUCUUGGCCCCAUGACCCCAACAAGAUCGACGACAUUCCUGUUAGCAACAUAUUUUCGGGCAGCAAUGGAACUUGGUCGAUCUCAAUCCUUUGAUUCCAAAUUUUAUCAAAGCCAUAGUUUGCAACUGUGUCAUCCCUUUCGAUCUCCGCCUAUACAAACACAUUUGGAACCUCUGUCCUGCAGGUGACCUUCCUCCUAAUGUUGCUCAUGAGUUUAAAAGAGGUAAAAGCCUCCUAUUAGCUAGGACAAUCUCGUUUGGUCUAAAUUCUUUCUCCAACCCAAAUCUUUAAUGGUGUAACGGUUAAUCUUGAAUAAGAUUCCGACUAAUGAGCUGUUAAAAAGGAGGGGUUUAAUAUUUGCCUCUGCUUAUAGUCUCUGGAAUAAGUUUGAGGAAACUUCACUUCA
Long non-coding RNA from Lathyrus oleraceus (garden pea), 2246 nucleotides. RefSeq lists it as uncharacterized. NCBI's taxonomy places the organism in Eukaryota, Viridiplantae, Streptophyta, Magnoliopsida, Fabales, Fabaceae. The transcript is spliced from 2 exons. The record is from RefSeq and is a predicted model, not a curated record.